UAGGGUGGUUUUAGCGGUGGAGCUCACCUGUUCCCAUUCCGAACACAGAAGUUAAGCCCACCAGCGCCGAUGGUACUGCGAAAGCGGGAGAGUAGGUCGCCGCCAGUU
RNAcentral lists this ribosomal RNA (108 nucleotides) under Chryseobacterium piscicola. The record is from RNAcentral. Lineage: Bacteria; Pseudomonadati; Bacteroidota; Flavobacteriia; Flavobacteriales; Weeksellaceae.